This is a long non-coding RNA of Protobothrops mucrosquamatus (brown spotted pit viper), 642 nucleotides long. RefSeq lists it as uncharacterized. Lineage: Eukaryota; Metazoa; Chordata; Lepidosauria; Squamata; Viperidae. The transcript is spliced from 4 exons. The record is from RefSeq and is a predicted model, not a curated record.
GGGGAGAGAGAGAGGAACGUUGCUGAGUUGGGAAGAGUCAGCUGAGCAAUCAAGUAAGUGUUAGCUGGCGCUGGCGGCGACUCGGAGAAAUAGUUCCGAUUUAAUACAAGAAACCUUGAGGAGGAAAGCCAAUAACCAACGUCCGCCCUAAACUUGUUUCGAUCUGCACGGUCAGAAGAGAGUGUGGAAGGAGGCGGGGGUUCCCAGCUCGCUCGAGUUCUCCGUCGCCCAGGAGGAACGGGAAGCGACAGGAUAAAAGAGGGGCCAUUGGAGGAGAGCUCGAAAUCUGGCAGCCUUUUUGACCGAGCCUGCAAUUCUCAGAACAAGCACUUUCACCUUCACAUCUAGCAGCACCAAACCAUUUGAUUUGCAAGUCCAUCAGACUGCAAAUCAAGUCCAACUGCUAUUCACGGCUUUUGAGUACUAAGAAACAGUAGAUGUAAUUUUGAAGAAGCACUGUUGGUGAAAUGGCUUUAGCUGGCUGCCCAGAUUCAUUUUUGCAUCAUCCAUAUAGGAUAGUAAGUUAUCACUUAAUUAAAUUCUGUAUACUUCAACUGAAUAUUCUCUCAGCAGGCUGUUUUGCUUAGGGCAGUGUUUCUCAGUAUGGGCUAGUUUAAGGUGUUUCAGCUUCAACUUCUGGAA